UACAUGGGGUGCAAACGUUGCUCGGAAUUAUUGGGCGUAAAGCGCACGUAGGCGGUUCGUUAAGUCGGAUGUGAAAGCCCUCGGCUCAACUGAGGAAGUGCACCCGAAACUGGCGAGCUUGAGUACGAAAGAGGAUCGCGGAAUUCCCGGUGUAGAGGUGAAAUUCGUAGAUAUCGGGAGGAACACCAGUGGCGAAGGCGGCGAUCUGGGAAGAUACUGACGCGUGAGGUGCGAAAGCGUGGGGAGCAAACAGG
Molecule: ribosomal RNA, 254 nt
Filed under: uncultured bacterium
Lineage: Bacteria
Description: partial 16S ribosomal RNA
Rfam family: Bacterial small subunit ribosomal RNA
Source: RNAcentral